UUCCCCAAAAUUAUUCAAGAACUCUCUUUAGGGUUUCAAAAUAAAAACCCAAGUAGUUCAAGAUUCAAACAUGGGUUUUCAAAACAAAUUAGAGAUUCGGAAUCCCCAAUCCACAAGCUUCAAGAAUCAUUCGUUAUUUUCUGAAAUAGAGGUACGCGGGGUUUUCCUAAAUUCUCAUGGGCUUAGAAAAAUCAUGUUUUAGAAUGGGGUUUUUGAAACUAUAUAUAUAUAUAUAUAUAUUCAUGUAUUAGAUGUUUUAGCAUUAUUGUUUUGGUCUUUUGACCUUCCCCAAAGUGAUUUGAGAAUAUGUAUGUAUGAAAGCAGGUAUUUAAGAACGAUUUCUUAUUGAGAGCAUAACAUUUGGUGAAUUCCCUCUUAUUAUGAAUUUUCAGAUUUUUCAUAGUAUAUGAAUUGUUUUGCAAUGCAUUCUUGAAAAGCACUAUAUGAAAUGGUUGAACUCUUGUUAUGAUUUGAAGGUGGUUUUAAAUCACUAAAGAGGGAAUUUAGCAUGAAUGUUUAAUGUUCAUAAUGCAUGUAAUGAAAGAGUGCAUGGAUUUGCUAAAGGCACUAGAGCACCAUAUGUUUGAUGAAGUUUUUGCAUGAUUUUAACUUGAGUUUCGGAACACGAAAUCUUCUAUAUCAGUUGCAUGUUUUUGGGUGGUCUAAGCUAUGCUUUAAAUGAAAGAUUUAGCUUAAUGUAUUAUGGCUUAGAAAUCAUGACUUGCAAGUCUUGGUAUGACGAUACCAAUUCAGACCAAUGCCAUAUCAGACUCAGACUAAUAGACAUUUCAGACUUUCAUGAUUUUAGACAUUCAGAAUGUUGCAUGUACAGAAAAGGUUAAAAAUGGGCAUACAGAGAUGUUAGGUGGUUCCCUGAAGAGGGCUUGAGUUCAAGCAACUCGUUGCCUAGAACCUUAGUUUGCCGAUCCGGGUAUAUUAUUAUACGCUGACUUAAGUGUCGUGUGGCGUAUUAGGCUCAGACACUCCAACCCUUGCGGCACACUUGGGUUGGGGGCUUUUCCGUCGAGUCAAUGGCGAAUUCCAUAUAGCCCGUGGAAUAUCAAACUUGUAGGGGAUUGCCACCUAACUCAAAAGUAAUACAAAGAUCAAAAAUUAUUUUGACAAGAAUGUCUUAUGAUUUUCGAAUGAUGCCCAUGUGUUUUCAGAAAAUAUUUUAUUCAUAAUGUGUUGAUGAAAAUUGCUCUUAUCUAUUAUAUAUAUGUUCAAAUACUUUAUUUUGAAUUGCUUCGCAUGACAGUACAUUUGUGCUGACCCCCCCCCCUCUAGGUUCUGAGGCACAGUUUAGGGGUCCAGCUAAUCAGUAGAUACUUUCAGAUUGCAGACCGGAUUUUGCAGUGGGGAGCCUUCUAUCAUUCAGAAGGCCUAGUCAUGUCUGACUUUCAUUAUUGUUUAUUUUUUGGUCUACUGGGGGCCUUGUCCCAGUUUUCAGACAACUUGUUUAGUUCAGAGUAGAGAUUUUGCAGACUGAGUCAGAUAGUAUUAUUCAGAUACAUUUUUAGUUUCAGUAUUAUUAUCUUAUUCAGAUUGACCAUGUUUCCAUUUCAAA
This 1567-nucleotide long non-coding RNA is filed under the name Capsicum annuum. RNAcentral's name for it is "long non-coding RNA (CANN_LNC013356)". The record is from RNAcentral. Lineage: Eukaryota; Viridiplantae; Streptophyta; Magnoliopsida; Solanales; Solanaceae.